Molecule: ribosomal RNA, 459 nt
Filed under: uncultured bacterium
Lineage: Bacteria
Description: partial 16S ribosomal RNA
Rfam family: Bacterial small subunit ribosomal RNA
Source: RNAcentral
CCUACGGGUGGCAGCAGUGAGGAAUAUUGGUCAAUGGGCGCGAGCCUGAACCAGCCAAGUCGCGUGAGGGAAGACGGUCCUAUGGAUUGUAAACCUCUUUUGUCGGGGAGCAAAAGACGCCACGCGUGGCGUUCCGCGAGUACCCGAAGAAAAAGCAUCGGCUAACUCCGUGCCAGCAGCCGCGGUAAUACGGAGGAUGCGAGCGUUCUCCGGAUUUAUUGGGUUAAAAGGGAGGGGAGGCGGAAGAUCAAGUCAGCGGUAAAAUUUUGAGGCUCAACCUCUUCGAGCCGUUGAAACUGGUUUUCUUGAGUGAGCGAGAAGUAUGCGGAAUGCGGGGUGUAGCGGUGAAAUGCAUAGAUAUCACGCAGAACUCCGAUUGCGAAGGCAGCAUACCGGCGCUCAACUGACGCUCAUGCACGAAAGUGUGGGUAUCGAACAGGAUUAGAUACCCCAGUAGUC